GGAAUUAUUGGGCGUAAAGAGCUCGUAGGCGGUUUGUCGCGUCUGCCGUGAAAGUCCGGGGCUCAACUCCGGAUCUGCGGUGGGUACGGGCAGACUAGAGUGAUGUAGGGGAGACUGGAAUUCCUGGUGUAGCGGUGAAAUGCGCAGAUAUCAGGAGGAACACCGAUGGCGAAGGCAGGUCUCUGGGCAUUAACUGACGCUGAGGAGCGAAAGCAUGGGGAGCGAACAGGAUUAGAUACCCUGGUAGUCCAUGCCGUAAACGUUGGGCACUAGGUGUGGGGGACAUUCCACGUUUUCCGCGCCGUAGCUAACGCAUUAAGUGCCCCGCCUGGGGAGUACGGCCGCAAGGCUAAAACUCAAAGGAAUUGACGGGGGCCCGCACAAGCGGCGGAGCAUGCGGAUUAAUUCGAUGCAACGCGAAGAACCUUACCAAGGCUUGACAUGAACCGGAAAGACCUGGAAACAGGUGCCCCGCUUGCGGUCGGUUUACAGGUGGUGCAUGGUUGUCGUCAGCUCGUGUCGUGAGAUGUUGGGUUAAGUCCCGCAACGAGCGCAACCCUCGUUCUAUGUUGCCAGCACGUGAUGGUGGGGACUCAUAGGAGACUGCCGGGGUCAACUCGGAGGAAGGUGGGGACGACGUCAAAUCAUCAUGCCCCUUAUGUCUUGGGCUUCACGCAUGCUACAAUGGCCGGUACAAAGGGUUGCGAUACUGUGAGGUGGAGCUAAUCCCAAAAAGCCGGUCUCAGUUCGGAUUGGGGUCUGCAACUCGACCCCAUGAAGUCGGAGUCGCUAGUAAUCGCAGAUCAGCAACGCUGCGGUGAAUACGUUCCCGGGCCUUGUACACACCGCCCGUCAAGUCACGAAAGUUGGUAACACCCGAAGCCGGUGGCCUAACCCCUUGGGGAGGGAG
RNAcentral lists this ribosomal RNA (910 nucleotides) under Pseudarthrobacter siccitolerans. RNAcentral describes it as "bacterial SSU rRNA". It matches the Rfam family "Bacterial small subunit ribosomal RNA", at positions 547 to 1452 of the family's 1533-position model. The record is from RNAcentral. Lineage: Bacteria; Bacillati; Actinomycetota; Actinomycetes; Micrococcales; Micrococcaceae.